GCCGAUGUAGCUCAACGGUAGAGCAGCUGAUUUGUAAUCAGCAGGUUAGGAGUUCGAGUCUCCUCAUCGGCU
Molecule: transfer RNA, 72 nt
Filed under: Clostridia bacterium
Lineage: Bacteria; Bacillati; Bacillota; Clostridia
Description: tRNA-Thr
Rfam family: tRNA
About the family: Transfer RNA (tRNA) molecules are approximately 80 nucleotides in length. Their secondary structure includes four short double-helical elements and three loops (D, anti-codon, and T loops).
Source: RNAcentral